Molecule: ribosomal RNA, 467 nt
Filed under: uncultured bacterium
Lineage: Bacteria
Description: partial 16S ribosomal RNA
Rfam family: Bacterial small subunit ribosomal RNA
Source: RNAcentral
GACGAACGCUGGCGGCGUGCCUAACACAUGCAAGUCGAACGGAAAGGCCUCUUUCGGGGGCUACUCGAGUGGCCAACGGGCGGGUAAGUCGUGAGUAACCUGCCCUUGACUUUGGGAUAACUUCAGGAAAAUGGGGCCAAUACCUGAUAGCAGCUCCUGCUGCAGGGUGGGAGUAGGAAAGUUUCGGAGGUUGGGGGUGGGCUCGCGGCUUAUCCGCUUGUGGGAGGGGUAGUGGGUUACCAAGGCUUUGGCGGGUAGCCGGCCUGAGAGGGUGACCGGCGACACUGGGACUUAGAGACGGCCCAGACGGCUACGGGUGGCAGAAGGGGGGAAUAUUGCACAAUGGGUGCAAGCCUGAUGAAGCAACGCCGUGUGCGGGAUGACGGUCUUGUGGUUGUAAAACGCUUUCGCUCAUGACGAAGCUUUGUGUGACGGUAGUGAGUAAAGAAGCACCGGCUAACUACGUG